Long non-coding RNA from Callithrix jacchus (white-tufted-ear marmoset), 1062 nucleotides. RefSeq lists it as uncharacterized. NCBI's taxonomy places the organism in Eukaryota, Metazoa, Chordata, Mammalia, Primates, Cebidae. The record is from RefSeq and is a predicted model, not a curated record.
UGUAAUCCCAGCCCUUUGGGAAACUGAGGCGGGUAGAUCAGCUGAAGUCAAGAGUUCGAGACCAGCCUGGCCAACAUGGUAAAACCCCAUCUCUACUAAGAAACACAAAAAUUAGCUGGGUGUGGUGGUGAGUGCCUGUAGUCCCAAGUCUGAGGUCAUAAGCAGGGCCACAGGUGGGACAAUGAGAGACAUAAGCUGGGGGUGGGGCUUGGCUGGAAGGCAUUGAAGAGACCAUAAAUAGCGGGCAGGAGAGGGCUGGUUUGUCACAGCAGCAGUGCCUGGUGGCAGUGGCCCAACAGGCUGAAGGAGGCAUGUGGGAUAGGACUGAAGUUUGGAGAGGAGGCUGCAUGAAAGGUGCAGCACAUGGCCAGAGCAAAGAAGAACCUCUACUUCCUCAUGCCUACCACCGACCAGUCAGAGAAACAGUGGACCCUGACGGAGCAGAGAGGCUUCCGGAAGUCCUAGGUGCUGGGGACACAAAGACAAGCAAAACAGGCAGGUUCCUUCGCUUGUGAAGCCUACACUCUAUGGGGAAGUCUGACAUUCAACACAGAACCCCACCAAUGGCUGCACAACUGCAGACUGAGCCAAAUUAUUAGGCGUGAGGACAGAAUGAAUAAGUCUGCAGAUAUUCACAGUCUCAAAACUGUCACCUCCCACACCCUCUUUCCAAGAAACUACUGGAGUAGGUGGUCCACCAAAAGAAUGGAGCAAAAUCAAGAAAGAGGAAAAGAAAUCCAACAAGAAGAGAGGUGAGGAGAACCCUGAAGUGAUGAUGAAGGAGAGCCCAGGGUCAGAGGUGGACUCACUGUGAAGCCCCAGAAGCCUCAUCAGGUUCCUGCACUUCCACAGGCCCCUGGAAUGAGUGCAUGAGUACUGGGGUUGUAGCAGGUCCUAGGCAGAAGCCAGGCUGCAGGCCAGACUGCCUGAGACCUCAGAAGAGAGGUUCCUGAGCUGCCAAGGGACCUGAAAAGCCAGGAAUUUACUGAUUUAUCGUAUCAAAAUAAAUAAAAUAUACCUAAUUUUUUCUUUUCUUUCUUUUUUUUUUGGUCAAUCAAUGAG